AUUGAACGCUGGCGGCAUGCUACACAUGCAAGUCGGACGGCAGCACAGAGAAGCUUGCUUCUUGGGUGGCGAGUGGCGAACGGGUGAGUAAUAUAUCGGAACGUACCGAGUAAUGGGGGAUAACUAAUCGAAAGAUUAGCUAAUACCGCAUAUUCUCUGAGGAGGAAAGCAGGGGACCUUCGGGCCUUGCGUUAUUCGAGCGGCCGAUAUCUGAUUAGCUAGUUGGUGGGGUAAAGGCCUACCAAGGCGACGAUCAGUAGCGGGUCUGAGAGGAUGAUCCGCCACACUGGGACUGAGACACGGCCCAGACUCCUACGGGAGGCAGCAGUGGGGAAUUUUGGACAAUGGGCGCAAGCCUGAUCCAGCCAUGCCGCGUGUCUGAAGAAGGCCUUCGGGUUGUAAAGGACUUUUGUCAGGGAAGAAAAGGCUGUUGCUAAUACCGACAGCUGAUGACGGUACCUGAAGAAUAAGCACCGGCUAACUACGUG
RNAcentral lists this ribosomal RNA (488 nucleotides) under uncultured bacterium. Its description in RNAcentral is "partial 16S ribosomal RNA". It matches the Rfam family "Bacterial small subunit ribosomal RNA", at positions 30 to 507 of the family's 1533-position model. The record is from RNAcentral.